GCCUUCGUGGUGCAGUGGUCAGCACGUUGGGUGCAUAUUUCAGAAGUCCAUGGUUCGAGUCCAGGCUAGGGCA
RNAcentral lists this transfer RNA (73 nucleotides) under Stegodyphus mimosarum. It matches the Rfam family "tRNA". From Rfam's summary of the family: Transfer RNA (tRNA) molecules are approximately 80 nucleotides in length. The record is from Rfam by way of RNAcentral. Lineage: Eukaryota; Metazoa; Arthropoda; Arachnida; Araneae; Eresidae.